Molecule: ribosomal RNA, 253 nt
Filed under: uncultured bacterium
Lineage: Bacteria
Description: partial 16S ribosomal RNA
Rfam family: Bacterial small subunit ribosomal RNA
Source: RNAcentral
UACGUAGGUGGCAAGCGUUGUUCGGAGUUACUGGGCGUAAAGAGUGCGUAGGCGGUUUUCUAAGUUUGGUGUGAAAUCUCCCGGCUUAACUGGGAGGGUGCGCCGAAAACUGGAAGGCUUGAGUAUGGGAGAGGUAAGCGGAAUUCCUGGUGUAGCGGUGAAAUGCGUAGAUAUCAGGAGGAACACCUGCGGUGUAGACGGCUUACUGGACCAUAACUGACGCUGAGGCACGAAAGCGUGGGUAGCAAACAGG